GGAAACUGCUCUUUGGGUUGCUGUGAGAGCAGACCCUGGUCCCAGUAGGUCCCUGGGCUGUGGUGCAGGUCCUUAGGUAUAGACAAGGAAUGUUACUGCCCCAGAUAGGUGACUUUUACCUAGAAUUCUACCAGGGGGGCUUCAUUCUCACUCAUGUCAUACCUAAAAGUUAUUAGAAGGCAACUGAAAUGGUCUUGUGAGUAAAAUAAUGCCUACCCACACCCCAUGACAUCCAUGUCCUACUCCCAAAAAGGAAUACAUUAGGUCAGAUGGUUGCCAGUUGGCUGACCUUGAGAUGAGAUUAUCUUGGAUUACCUGGUGGGUCCAGGGGAAUCACAAAGGUGCUUAAAAGCAGAAGAGGGAGGGCAAGAGAGAGCCAGAGAGAUAAGAGCAUAUGAAGGACUCAGUUCAACAUUGCUAGAGACAUGGAGCCAUGAGCCAAGGAGUGUGGGUGGCCUCUAGAAGCUGGACUACGUUGCUGCCAACACCCACAUUUUAGCCCAGUGAAAUCCAUGCCAGACUUCUGACCUCCAGAACUAUUGGGAACCUCAAAGAAUAAGGCAAGUGGCCUAGGCAUCUCAAAGUCAAGAGUCAGCAGUGGAUCACAAGAUUUGAUUGGUCCUGCAGUUUAUGAAGCCAGCACAAGUAUAUAGACAUAGGACAUUUUUGAAGGAUACAGGAGGAACAGCAAGGGUAUCCAGUGAGCAGAGCUGGAGGAACUGAAAUUCAGAAAGAACAGAAGAUAGACUUUUUUCCUGAACAUAGUAUUAAUAGUACCCCAGUGGAUUAUCCUUCACACCAUGAAAUUUUCCCUCAGGAUAAAUCUGAGAACACCAUAGAAGGUUUUUCAAAAAAGACUCUACCUGGCCAUUCUGAGUCAGAAUUUCUGCUGAUAAUGCCCUGGCUAGGUAUUUUG
Molecule: long non-coding RNA, 916 nt
Organism: Heterocephalus glaber (naked mole-rat)
Lineage: Eukaryota; Metazoa; Chordata; Mammalia; Rodentia; Bathyergidae
Source: Ensembl